AGAGUUUGAUCCUGGCUCAGGACGAACGCUGGCGGCGUGCUUAACACAUGCAAGUCGAACGGUGAACCUGCUUCGGUGGGGGAUCAGUGGCGAACGGGUGAGUAACACGUGGGCAACCUGCCCUCAGCUCUGGGAUAACUCCAAGAAAUUGGGGCUAAUACUGGAUAUGACCGCUGACCGCAUGGUCUGGUGGUGGAAAGAUUUAUCGGCUGGGGAUGGGCCCGCGGCCUAUCAGCUUGUUGGUGGGGUAGUGGCCUACCAAGGCGACGACGGGUAGCCGGCCUGAGAGGGUGACCGGCCACACUGGGACUGAGACACGGCCCAGACUCCUACGGGAGGCAGCAGUGGGGAAUAUUGCGCAAUGGGCGAAAGCCUGACGCAGCGACGCCGCGUGGGGGAUGACGGCCUUCGGGUUGUAAACCUCUUUCAGCAGGGACGAAGCGAAAGUGACGGUACCUGCAGAAGAAGCACCGGCCAACUACGUGCCAGCAGCCGCGGUAAUACGUAGGGUGCAAGCGUUGUCCGGAAUUAUUGGGCGUAAAGAGCUCGUAGGCGGUUUGUUGCGUCGGCUGUGAAAACCUGAGGCUCAACCUCAGGCCUGCAGUCGAUACGAGCAGACUAGAGUGUUGCAGGGGAGACUGGAAUUCCUGGUGUAGCGGUGAAAUGCGCAGAUAUCAGGAGGAACACCGGUGGCGAAGGCGGGUCUCUGGGCAACAACUGACGCUGAGGAGCGAAAGCGUGGGGAGCGAACAGGAUUAGAUACCCUAGUAGUCC
This 774-nucleotide ribosomal RNA is filed under the name uncultured bacterium. RNAcentral's name for it is "bacterial SSU rRNA". It matches the Rfam family "Bacterial small subunit ribosomal RNA", at positions 8 to 796 of the family's 1533-position model. The record is from RNAcentral.